UACGUAGGGACCAAGCGUUGUUCGGAUUUACUGGGCGUAAAGGGCGCGUAGGCGGACUGCCGCGUCCGGGGUGAAAUCCUCCGGCUCAACCGGGGAAGGGCCUCGGAUACGGGCGGUCUGGAGGGGGGUAGGGGCGUGCGGAACUGUGGGUGGAGCGGUGAAAUGCGUUGAGAUCCACAGGAACUCCGGUGGCGAAGGCGGCACGCUGGACCCCUUCUGACGCUGAGGCGCGAAAGCCAGGGGAGCGAACGGG
RNAcentral lists this ribosomal RNA (253 nucleotides) under uncultured bacterium. Its description in RNAcentral is "partial 16S ribosomal RNA". It matches the Rfam family "Bacterial small subunit ribosomal RNA", at positions 524 to 776 of the family's 1533-position model. The record is from RNAcentral.